AAAGCCUUUCGGGGUGAGUAGAGCGGCGGACGGGUGAGUAACGCGUAGGAAUCUACCUGGUAGUGGGGGACAACUUGGGGAAACCCAAGCUAAUACCGCAUACGCCCUAAGGGGGAAAGCGGGGGAUCUUCGGACCUCGCGCUAUUGGAUGAGCCUGCGUAGGAUUAGCUUGUUGGUGAGGUAAAGGCUCACCAAGGGGACGAUCCUUAGCUGGUCUGAGAGGAUGAUCAGCCACACUGGAACUGAGACACGGUCCAGACUCCUACGGGAGGGAGCAGUGGGGAAUAUUGCGCAAUGGGGGCAACCCUGACGCAGCCAUGCCGCGUGUGUGAAGAAGGGCUUAGGGUUGUAAAGCACUUUCAUUGGGAAGAAAAGCUGCAGGUUAAUAGCCUGUAGCCCUGACUUACAUUAGAAGAAGCACCGGCUAACUCCGUGCCAGCGCCGCGGUAAUACGGAGGGUGGCGAGCCGUUAAUCGGAAUUACUGGGCGUAAAGGCGCGGCGUAGGCGGUUUGUUAAGUCAGGCUGUGAAAGCCCUGGGCUCAACCUGGGAACUGCAGUUGAUACUGGCCGACUAGAGUACGAGAGAGGGAGGUAGAAUUCCAUGUGUAGCGGUGAAAUGCGUAGAUAUAUGGAGGAAUACCAGUGGCGAAGGCGGCCUCCUGGCUCGAUACUGACGCUGAGGUGCGAAAGCGUGGGGAUCAAACAGGAUUAGAUACCCUGGUAGUCCACGCCGUAAACGAUGUCUACUAGCCGUUGGGAGACUUGAUUUCUUAGUGGCGCAGCUAACGCAAUAAGUAGACCGCCUGGGGAGUACGGCCGCAAGGUUAAAACUCAAAUGAAUUGACGGGGGGCCCGCACAAGCGGUGGAGCAUGUGGUUUAAUUCGAUGCAACGCGAAGAACCUUACCAGGUCUUGACAUCCCUGAAACUUUCUAGAGAUAGAUUGGUCCCUUCGGGAAUCAGGUGACAGGUGCGCAUGGCGUCGUCACCUCGCGUCGGAGAGUUGGUUAAGUCCCGUAACCAGCCCAACCCUGUCCUUAUUUCCCACCACGUAAUGGGGGAACUCUAAGGGACUCCCGGUGACAAACCGAGGAAGUGGGGAGACGUCAAGUCAUCAUGGCCCUUACGACCUGGGCUACACACGUGCUACAAUGGAACGCACAGAGGGCUCCAAAGGCCCGAGCUGGAGCGAAUCCCACAAAACGUUUCGUAGUCCGGAUUGGAGUCUGCAACUCGACUCCAUGAAGUCGGAAUCGCUAGUAAUCGUGAAUCAGAAUGUCACGGUGAAUACGUUCCCGGCCCUUGUACACACCCCCCGUCACACCAUGGGAGUGGGUUCCAAAAGAAGUGGGUAGACUAACCUUCGGGAGGUCGCUCACCACUUUGUGAUUCAUG
This 1395-nucleotide ribosomal RNA is filed under the name uncultured deep-sea bacterium. Its description in RNAcentral is "16S ribosomal RNA". It matches the Rfam family "Bacterial small subunit ribosomal RNA". The record is from RNAcentral.